Molecule: ribosomal RNA, 542 nt
Filed under: Bacillus velezensis
Lineage: Bacteria; Bacillati; Bacillota; Bacilli; Caryophanales; Bacillaceae
Description: bacterial SSU rRNA
Rfam family: Bacterial small subunit ribosomal RNA
Source: RNAcentral
AGUAACACGUAGGGUAACCUGCCUGUCCCUUUGGGAUAACUCCGGGAAACCGGGGCUAAUACCGGAUGGUUGUCUGAACCGCAUGGUUCAGACAUAAAAGGUGGCUUCCGCUACCACUUACAGAUGGACCCGCGGCGCAUUAGCUAGUUGGUGAGGUAACGGCUCACCAAGGCAACGAUGCGUAGCCGACCUGAGAGGGUGAUCGGCCACACUGGGACUGAGACACGGCCCAGACUCCUACGGGAGGCAGCAGUAGGGAAUCUUCCGCAAUGGACGAAAGUCUGACGGAGCAACGCCGCGUGAGUGAUGAAGGUUUUCGGAUCGUAAAGCUCUGUUGUUAGGGAAGAACAAGUGCCGUUCAAAUAGGGCGGCACCUUGACGGUACCUAACCAGAAAGCCACGGCUAACUACGUGCCAGCAGCCGCGGUAAUACGUAGGUGGCAAGCGUUGUCCGGAAUUAUUGGGCGUAAAGGGCUCGCAGGCGGUUUCUUAAGUCUGAUGUGAAAAGCCCCCGGCUCAACCGGGGAAGGGUCAUUGGAAAC